RNAcentral lists this ribosomal RNA (253 nucleotides) under uncultured bacterium. RNAcentral's name for it is "partial 16S ribosomal RNA". It matches the Rfam family "Bacterial small subunit ribosomal RNA", at positions 524 to 776 of the family's 1533-position model. The record is from RNAcentral.
UACAGAGGGGGCGAGCGUUGUUCGGAAUUACUGGGCGUAAAGGGCGCGUAGGCGGCCAACUAAGUCAGACGUGAAAUCCCUCGGCUCAACCGGGGAACUGCGUCUGAUACUGGAUGGCUUGAAUUCGGGAGAGGGAUGCGGAAUUCCAGGUGUAGCGGUGAAAUGCGUAGAUAUCUGGAGGAACACCGGUGGUGUAGACAGCUUACUGGACCACUUCUGACGCUGAGACACGAAAGCGUGGGUAGCAAACAGG